Molecule: ribosomal RNA, 484 nt
Filed under: uncultured bacterium
Lineage: Bacteria
Description: partial 16S ribosomal RNA
Rfam family: Bacterial small subunit ribosomal RNA
Source: RNAcentral
AUUGAACGCUGGCGGAAUGCUUUACACAUGCAAGUCGAGCGGCAGCACGGGGGCAACCCUGGUGGCGAGCGGCGAACGGGUGAGUAAUACAUCGGAACAUGCCCAGUCGUGGGGGAUAACACUUCGAAAGAAGUGCUAAUACCGCAUACGUCCUGAGGGAGAAAGCGGGGGAUCGCAAGACCUCGCGCGAUUGGAGUGUCCGAUGUCAGAUUAGCUAGUUGGUGGGGUAAAGGCCUACCAAGGCAACGAUCUGUAGCUGGUCUGAGAGGAUGAUCAGCCACACUGGGACUGAGACACGGCCCAGACUCCUACGGGAGGCAGCAGUGGGGAAUUUUGGACAAUGGGGGCAACCCUGAUCCAGCCAUUCCGCGUGAGUGAAGAAGGCCUUCGGGUUGUAAAGCUCUUUCGGCAGGAACGAAACGGUGAGCUCUAACAUAGCUCGCUAAUGACGGUACCUGAAGAAGAAGCACCGGCUAACUACGUG